GAUGAACGCUGGCGGCGUGCCUAAUACAUGCAAGUCGAGCGAACGGACGAGAAGCUUGCUUCUCUGAUGUUAGCGGCGGACGGGUGAGUAACACGUGGAUAACCUACCUAUAAGACUGGGAUAACUUCGGGAAACCGGAGCUAAUACCGGAUAAUAUUUUGAACCGCAUGGUUCAAAAGUGAAAGACGGUCUUGCUGUCACUUAUAGAUGGAUCCGCGCUGCAUUAGCUAGUUGGUAAGGUAACGGCUUACCAAGGCAACGAUGCAUAGCCGACCUGAGAGGGUGAUAGGCCACACUGGAACGGGGACACGGUCCAGACUACUACGGGAGGCAGCAGUAGGGAAUCUUCCGCAAUGGGCGAAAGCCUGACGGAGCAACGCCGCGUGAGUGAUGAAGGUCUUCGGAUCGUAAAACUCUGUUAUUAGGGAAGAACAUAUGUGUAAGUAACUGUGCACAUCUUGACGGUACCUAAUCAGAAAGCCACGGCUAACUACGUG
Molecule: ribosomal RNA, 497 nt
Filed under: uncultured bacterium
Lineage: Bacteria
Description: partial 16S ribosomal RNA
Rfam family: Bacterial small subunit ribosomal RNA
Source: RNAcentral